AAAUAACUAAUCAUCUUCUUCAUUGUAUAAAUUAGUUCAUACUUUAAUAUCAUAUUAUAUAAAAUAAUUCUGUUUUUUUUAAGUGAACAAAGUGAGAACAUUCCUGCUACUAAUGCAACAACUAAGAGUGUGUCUGCUACACAUAACACAACUGACAAAGAGAGUAGGGAUGAAAGCAAGCAAGAAGAAGUUCAACCAAAAGUGCAAAGCAAUCCAGUAAAGAAUAGUCUUGGCCAAAAAAAACCCAAAGAUGAUGCAAGAAUAACAACAUUAAAGGACAAGAUGCAAGAAAUACAUUUAGACAUAGAGAGAAACCCAAAGUAUGUUUAAAUUUAAAUAAUUGAAUUAAUUUAAUCAAUUAAUGAAUAUAUUUCAAAGUUAUAUAACAAUAUAAUACAUUUACAGGAAGCACAAAGAAUCGACAAUCAGAAUUAUGAGAAAUCUCAAAAGAAUGGAAAAGGCAAGCAAGGAAAUCAGGAAAGGUAAAU
Chenopodium quinoa (quinoa) is the source of this 488-nucleotide long non-coding RNA. RefSeq lists it as uncharacterized. The transcript has 3 exons. NCBI's taxonomy places the organism in Eukaryota, Viridiplantae, Streptophyta, Magnoliopsida, Caryophyllales, Amaranthaceae. The record is from RefSeq and is a predicted model, not a curated record.